This 254-nucleotide ribosomal RNA is filed under the name uncultured bacterium. RNAcentral describes it as "partial 16S ribosomal RNA". It matches the Rfam family "Bacterial small subunit ribosomal RNA", at positions 524 to 776 of the family's 1533-position model. The record is from RNAcentral.
UACAGAGGGGGCAAGCGUUGUUCGGAAUUACUGGGCGUAAAGGGCGCGUAGGCGGCCUUCUAAGUCGAACGUGAAAUCCCCGGGCUCAACCCGGGAACUGCGUCCGAUACUGGAAGGCUUGAAUCCGGGAGAGGGAUGUGGAAUUCCAGGUGUAGCGGUGAAAUGCGUAGAUAUCUGGAGGAACACCGGUGGCGAAGGCGACAUCCUGGACCGGUAUUGACGCGUGAGGCGCGAAAGCCAGGGGAGCAAACGGG